This 267-nucleotide long non-coding RNA is filed under the name Gossypium barbadense (sea-island cotton). Its description in RNAcentral is "long non-coding RNA (GBAR_LNC013619)". The record is from RNAcentral. Lineage: Eukaryota; Viridiplantae; Streptophyta; Magnoliopsida; Malvales; Malvaceae.
AAUGGUACCUAUGAGAGGGAAAGAAGUGUGAGUAACCCCUCAAAUAAUAACACCAAUUCACUAAUUACUAUAUUUAUUCACAUAUUAGGUAAGUUCAUCGAUAAAAUACGCAAUUUGUAACACCCCUAACUCAUAUUAUUUGCUGGAAUACAAAGCAAUACUAGACCAAUAGAAUAGUAAACCAUUCAAAUCAUACAUAAAUGCAAACAUAAUUAAAUUUAAUUCAACUACAUUCAUAAUGUCCCUUAAUCGAGCCCUUGAGGCCCU